This 320-nucleotide ribosomal RNA is filed under the name uncultured eukaryote. RNAcentral's name for it is "partial 18S ribosomal RNA". It matches the Rfam family "Eukaryotic small subunit ribosomal RNA", at positions 1470 to 1796 of the family's 1831-position model. The record is from RNAcentral.
CCCCUAGAUGUUCUGGGCCGCACGCGCGCUACACUGAACAGUUCAACAAGUCUUAACCUUGGCCGAUAGGUCUGGGUAAUCUUUGAACGCUGUUCGUGAUUGGGAUAGACCUUUGCAAUUAUGGGUCUUCAACGAGGAAUUCCUAGUAAACGAAAGUCAUCAGCUUGCAUUGAUUACGUCCCUGCCCUUUGUACACACCGCCCGUCGCACCUACCGAUUGAAUGGUCCGGUGAAAUCUCGGGACGGCGGCUUGGUCGCUUGCGUCCGACUGCUGAAACUUGAUUAAACCAUAUCAUUUAGAGGAAGGUGAAGUCGUAACA